GCUAGUUUUGACGCAAUUUGGGAAGUUCCCACCAUUGAUCUCAAAAUGCUGUCUUGCAAGGACGAGGGAGAAAAGAUGACACUUGUCCGAUGUCAAGUCCUGGACCAUCAGCCGAGCGGCAGAGAACCACUUUAACACUUGAAAAACAGCUGGAAACUAUAAAUAGCGUGGCAUCAGGUGAAGGUAACACAGCUCUGGGACGCUACUGCUGGGAACAGAAUCUUUCCUCUAAAGUUCUUUUGUUGCUUGACAAUGCAACAGCCCAUUCUAAACAUUUGGACAGCAUUCAUCCUAACGUAACAGUGUGUUCCUGCCGCCUAAAACAACAUCGCUGAUUCAGCCACUCGACCAAGGUGUGAUCCACAUUUAAGGCAUAUUUUUUUUAUGGUGAACUAUCUCUCAGAUGCUGCAAGCAAUGGAUGAUUUUGAAAAUCCCAGGAGUUUACCAACGGUGAGGGAAUGGUGGAAGUUGGAACAUUUGGUACAAAUGGCAAUGGACAUGGACCCAAGUAAAGAACGGAGCCAGCAUUUCAGUCCUUCCCUGCCGUCAGCCCUUUAUUCCUUACAAGCAAUUUUAUGCUGAAAAGCAAAAUGUUGCCAAGCAAACAACCUUCAUCACUAUCUUCAAACCGGUGCUGGCAGUUCUAAGAGUUCUGUGAGUCUUCCUUCACCCCUUGCUGUGCUUGAUAUGAUUCUGACGACCACAACCAUCCAUCCACCUUAUCCACGUAAAGCUGCCCGACACCACAACAACCACUCCCGUCCCGGAGCGAACACACCUGCCACUGUUGGAAUGCUCUCAUUACUCCCUUAGAUGGUCACAAUCUUCAGGAAGUCAGAAAUACCAAAUUUCUGUCAGUGACUCAAGCCCAUCCUGUCUGCUGUUUUCUCCACCACAAAGCAAAAGAAAUCAGCUGGACAAUAUGAAUUUAAGCUGUUUCCAAAUGGCUCUCUGUAAAAUAUACUGAAACUGUUAUGCUUUGUUGUGUGAAAUCUGAGUGAAAUUUUAAUGGCAUAUGAAGCCAUUGAGAAUAUAUCAGUCUGUAAAUAGUUUAAAAUUGCUCCUCUUCCUUCCUGAUUUGCAACGUGUGAGAAUUGUACUACUGACCUCUUUGCAGCAGCUGGAAUUAGGGAUCCUACAGAGCUGCAGCAAGCACUGGAAAAAGCAAGGUCACUUUUUUUUGGACUCAUUCACAGGACAUGGGUAUCAUUGGUACUAUUGUCACAUCAUCUGUCUCCACGAACCAACCACAGAGGUGGACCUGAGGCCACAUGUACGUUAAGCCAGGCAUAUUUUCUUCACUGAGAGAUGCUAGUGAACAAAAUGAGUUUUAAAACAACAUUAGAACUGGAAUUGGAAUUGAUUUAUUAUUGUCACAUGUACUGGCUUUCAGUGUAAAGCUUGUCUUACAUACUGUUCAUACAGAUCAAAUCAUUACACAGUGCACUGAGGUAGAACAAGGUAAAGCAGUGACAAAAUGCAGGAAAAAAGUGUAACAGCUGCAGAGAAAAUGCAAUGCAGGUAAACAAUAAAAUGCAAAAUCAUAAUGAGAUAGAUUGUGAGGUCAACAGUCUACCCUACUGCAGUAGGGAAUGAUUCAAGAGUCCUAUAACAGCAGGUUUGAAGCUCUCUUUGAGUCUGUUCUUGAGAGAAUAUCUGGGGUUGGUAGGGUCUGUGAUUACAUUGGCUCCUUUAUUGAGGCAAUGAGAAGUAUAGACUGAGUCCAAGGGAGAGAGGACUGGUUUUUGUUUUUGUUCACAAGCCAUGUUCACAAUUCUGUGUAGUUAUUCCAUUGUUACCAUUAAGACAUAAUGCUAUAAAAUUCAAGAAUUAGUACAUUUAAAUUCCACAAUCUCUAAAUCAAAGUUUCUGGCCUUUCUAUUUACUCAGCCCAGUAGCUUUCUAACUUUAUUACUGUACUGCUGUUGUAGAAUCUACAAGUGCAUAGAAAUUGGUUAGUAUAUGCAACAAUCUGUGUUAGCGUAAGUUGAAUGAACAUUUUUGUUGAGGGCACAGCUCUGGGAAAGCCCAAGAUGCAUGACCAUGAUGCUUAUGUUGUUUGGCAAACAAAUAGUCCUGUCUUGUAACUUCACUAAUUUGGUUUGUCAUUCCGAUUUGUCAAUGGAGUAACUGUUGCUGGCAUGCCCCUCCUGCUCUCUUCAUUGAUUGUUGAUGAUGGUCAAGUGGUGGGUCUGCCAUGUCAUGAGUUUGCAGACUGAAGUUGAUUACAGAUCUGCUGCCGCUGAGGGUCCCUAGUGCUUCAUUGAUGACCGCUCCUGAGCUGCUAGAACUGUUUGCCAUAAUUAUCAUGGAGACAGUGCCACAUGACAUGAAGAAAUUUAUAUUUUCCUUGUCAAAAUGGAGUAUCUGCUCCAGAAGGUCUAUGUUUCUUAGGCACCCUAUCCACUACAUCACAUCACUCACAUCAUCAACACAUAGCUGUAGCAGUUUGUAUGAUCUACAGGAUGCACUGCAGCAACAUACCAAGGUACAUAGACAGCACUCUGCAAGUCCAUUACCUCUAUCUGCUGGAAGGACAAGGAUAGCAAAAACUUGGAAACACCAUCAUCUGGAAGUUCCCCUCCAAGUUGCAAAAUAUCCUGACUUGGAAAUAUAUUGCCAUUCCUUCACUGUCACUGGGUCAAAAUCAUGGAACUAUCUUCAAUGUGGGUACAUGCACAGCUCAGGGACUGUAAUAAUGCACCACCAUCUUCUCAAAGGUAACACGGAAUGGAUAAUUAAACAUUGGUUCAGUCUGUGAAGUCCAUAUCCCUUCAAUAAAUAUAUAUUGGAAAAAAAAAGAAUAAAAUACUGAACCCCACUUCACUUUAAUGCAUUUUACUUGACAGCCAGAUUACAUUUCUUUCUCUUUGAGGUCAGCAGAAUUGUUGUAAAACGUGGAACAGGCCCUUGGCUCACAAUGUUGUGCCAAACCAAUUAAAUUAGUAAUCAAAUGGUUAGCAAAUCUCCUCUGUCUACAUAAUCCUUCCGUUUUCCUCACAUUCAUCUGUCUAUCAAAAUAACUCUUAGGCUACAUUCACACUAGACCAGAUAAUUUUGAAAACGCCGGUUUCGCAUAAAAACCAUAGGCGUCCCCACUAUGCGUUUUUGAAAAUAUCUCUUCCACACUGAAAUGGAGAUUUCAGCGAAUUUUCUCCUCUUGCGCAUGCGCAGGAUGCAUCUACCGAAAACAAGCGGCAUGUUUGGUGUCGAAUCUCUCCGUAAAAGUGCGUGCUUGUGUAGUUACAGACUAGAAAAACUUAAAACAACAGACAGCUGUUUGCUCUCAUGCAGGAGAACUUAAAACUAAAAAAAAACAAAUACUGGAGCGUAUGGCGGCAACCAACAGGGAGUUCACGGACAGAUGGACUCGGCUGACGACAAACAUUGAAAAACUGACUAACUUUGUUGCAUUAAUAAAGCACCUUGUUGCAUUAAUAAAACAUGCCUGCAUCAGUGUUAUCUUGUAUUUCCAUACAAUGUUACAUUAGGCUGUUACACAUCUAUUGUCAGAGAAGUACUUGCAUAAAUAGGUAAACUGUGGCGACCCAUUUCCUGGCACAUCCGAACCGGCUCACAAUUAGAUAGCCUACGGGGGUUUGCGAGCACAGAGCUUUGGAGCCUCUGCGC
Hypanus sabinus (Atlantic stingray) is the source of this 3631-nucleotide long non-coding RNA. RefSeq lists it as uncharacterized. The record is from RefSeq and is a predicted model, not a curated record. The transcript is spliced from 3 exons. Lineage: Eukaryota; Metazoa; Chordata; Chondrichthyes; Myliobatiformes; Dasyatidae.